RNAcentral lists this unclassified non-coding RNA (529 nucleotides) under uncultured Microcystis sp. RNAcentral describes it as "partial contains 16S ribosomal RNA and 16S-23S ribosomal RNA intergenic spacer". The stretch from base 1 to 120 matches the Rfam family "Bacterial small subunit ribosomal RNA", at positions 1414 to 1533 of the family's 1533-position model. Lineage: Bacteria; Bacillati; Cyanobacteriota; Cyanophyceae; Chroococcales; Microcystaceae. The record is from RNAcentral.
GCCACGCCCGAAGUCGUUACCUCAACCGCAAGGAGGGGGAUGCCUAAGGCAGGGCUAGUGACUGGGGUGAAGUCGUAACAAGGUAGCCGUACCGGAAGGUGUGGCUGGAUCACCUCCUUAAAGGGAGACCUAAUUCAAGUAGGAGACGAAAAAAAAGUAGUCCCUACCAAGAAUCAAUCCCAAAAGGUCGGAGCGAGGCAAAAUUGGCUUUCAAACUAGGUUCUGGGUUCACACAAGACCUGAAUCAGGAACAAGGGCUAUUAGCUCAGGUGGUUAGAGCGCACCCCUGAUAAGGGUGAGGUCCCUGGUUCGAGUCCAGGAUGGCCCACCUGUACAGGUGGCAAAAAGAAAGAAAAGAAGCGAGGAAUCAGCACCUUAUCUUACUUAUAUAGUAAGAGAGAAUGCUGGCUCUGAGUUCAGAGUCCAGAGGAACCUUGAAAACUGCAUAGAGCUAGGUGAAAAAGCCAAAAAAGAAGACCACAAGGUCAAGCUAAUAAGGGCUAACGGUGGAUACCUAGGCACACAGAGG